RNAcentral lists this ribosomal RNA (253 nucleotides) under uncultured bacterium. RNAcentral's name for it is "partial 16S ribosomal RNA". It matches the Rfam family "Bacterial small subunit ribosomal RNA", at positions 524 to 776 of the family's 1533-position model. The record is from RNAcentral.
UACGUAGGGGGCAAGCGUUGUCCGGAUUUAUUGGGCGUAAAGAGCGUGUAGGCGGCUGGAUAGGUCCGUUGUGAAAACUCGAGGCUCAACCUCGAGACGCCGAUGGAAACCAUCCAGCUAGAGUCCGGAAGAGGAGAGUGGAAUUCCCGGUGUAGCGGUGAAAUGCGCAGAUAUCGGGAAGAACACCCGUGGCUAAGGCGGCUCUCUAGUACGGAACUGACGCUGAGACGCGAAAGCGUGGGGAGCGAACAGG